RNAcentral lists this ribosomal RNA (579 nucleotides) under Lactobacillus sp. oral taxon D06. RNAcentral describes it as "bacterial SSU rRNA". It matches the Rfam family "Bacterial small subunit ribosomal RNA", at positions 394 to 964 of the family's 1533-position model. Lineage: Bacteria; Bacillati; Bacillota; Bacilli; Lactobacillales; Lactobacillaceae. The record is from RNAcentral.
ACACCGCGUGAGUGAAGAAGGGUUUCGGCUCGUAAAGCUCUGUUGUUGGAGAAGAACGUGCGUGAGAGUAACUGUUCACGCAGUGACGGUAUCCAACCAGAAAGUCACGGCUAACUACGUGCCAGCAGCCGCGGUAAUACGUAGGUGGCAAGCGUUAUCCGGAUUUAUUGGGCGUAAAGCGAGCGCAGGCGGUUGCUUAGGUCUGAUGUGAAAGCCUUCGGCUUAACCGAAGAAGUGCAUCGGAAACCGGGCGACUUGAGUGCAGAAGAGGACAGUGGAACUCCAUGUGUAGCGGUGGAAUGCGUAGAUAUAUGGAAGAACACCAGUGGCGAAGGCGGCUGUCUGGUCUGCAACUGACGCUGAGGCUCGAAAGCAUGGGUAGCGAACAGGAUUAGAUACCCUGGUAGUCCAUGCCGUAAACGAUGAGUGCUAGGUGUUGGAGGGUUUCCGCCCUUCAGUGCCGGAGCUAACGCAUUAAGCACUCCGCCUGGGGAGUACGACCGCAAGGUUGAAACUCAAAGGAAUUGACGGGGGCCCGCACAAGCGGUGGAGCAUGUGGUUUAAUUCGAAGCUACGCGA